AUCUUCUCUGAAAGAUUAGAAUCGUGCAUCUGCCGUGCCUUUCAAUUUUGUAUUUCGGAUUAACUGCUCCUUUUCCUCCACGUUCUGAAGGCCUUCUAAGACAUUUCCUUCCCGGUUCAUCUGAUCUGGUGGAUGUGCCUGGACAGAGAGGUGAGGAAUCUGAGAGGAAAUGAACAGAGCUGGAGGCUGCCCUUCAAUGAAAAGUAACUGUGGUGGCAACAGCCACAUUGGAGUCUAUGAGGUGAAGUCUAAGGCUCUACUGAUAUGGCUAAGCCUAUGAUCGGGGAAUAAAGCUUAUUUUCCUUAA
Long non-coding RNA from Lagenorhynchus albirostris (white-beaked dolphin), 307 nucleotides. RefSeq lists it as uncharacterized. The transcript is spliced from 2 exons. The record is from RefSeq and is a predicted model, not a curated record. Lineage: Eukaryota; Metazoa; Chordata; Mammalia; Artiodactyla; Delphinidae.